AUUUCCAGUCACAGAGCUAGGGGUUAGCAGCCUGGACCGAGCCGCAUCAUAGUCCUUGCCGCAGGAAGUCUGUUGGGAAUAGGAUUCUGGCAUCUGCUGGGAACCAUCCCUGUUUGCACGCACUAGGUUCUAUGGAAAAACCCAAACCUUGCAUCAGUCGGCUUUGGUUUUUAAGCAACAAAGAGCAAGCCUGGUUGCUCCAAGAGGACAGUGGAGAUGUUGUCCCAACCUGUUGUGCGCAGGAAACCCCACUUAAGGACUGUCCCCUGAUCAAGAUGUAGAACGCUCAGCUUCUCCUGCACCAUGCCUGCCUGGAUGCUGCCAUGCUCCUCUCUUAAUGAUAAUGGACUGAACCUCUGAACCUGCAACCAACCCCAAUUAAAUGUUGUCCUUUAUAAGA
Molecule: long non-coding RNA, 400 nt
Organism: Mus musculus (house mouse)
Lineage: Eukaryota; Metazoa; Chordata; Mammalia; Rodentia; Muridae
Product: predicted gene, 40673
Exons: 3
Source: RefSeq, a predicted model, not a curated record